Molecule: ribosomal RNA, 503 nt
Filed under: uncultured bacterium
Lineage: Bacteria
Description: partial 16S ribosomal RNA
Rfam family: Bacterial small subunit ribosomal RNA
Source: RNAcentral
GACGAACGCUGGCGGCGUGCUUAACACAUGCAAGUCGAACGGUGAAGCGCUUUCCUUUUUGGUUGGUGUGGAUGAGUGGCGAACGGGUGAGUAACACGUGAGUAACCUGCCCCCUUCUUCUGGAUAACCGCAUGAAAGUGUGGCUAAUACGGGAUAUUCUGCGCCUGCUGCAUGGUGGGUGUGGGAAAGAUUGUGCCUUUGGGUGUUUUCGGUGGGGGAUGGGCUCGCGGCCUAUCAGCUUGUUGGUGGGGUGAUGGCCUACCAAGGCGGUGACGGGUAGCCGGCCUGAGAGGGUGGACGGUCACACUGGGACUGUGACACGGCCCAGACUCCUACGGGAGGCAGCAGUGGGGAAUAUUGCACAAUGGGCGCAAGCCUGAUGCAGCGACGCCGCGUGAGGGAUGGAGGCCUUCGGGUUGUGAACCUCUUUCGCCAGUGAAGCAGGCCUGCUCCUUGUGGGUGGGUUGACGGUAGCUGGAUAAGAAGCGCCGGCUAACUACGUG